This 1169-nucleotide long non-coding RNA is filed under the name Homo sapiens (human). RNAcentral describes it as "non-protein coding lnc-CAMSAP2-1:3". Lineage: Eukaryota; Metazoa; Chordata; Mammalia; Primates; Hominidae. The record is from RNAcentral.
GGCUCCAGCAAUUCUGUCUCAGCCUCCUGAGUAGCUGGGACAACAGGCACCCACCAUCACGCCCGGCUAAUUUCUGCCAUUUGCCCGGGCUUGUCUCAAACUCCUGAGCUCAGGUGAUCCGCCUGCCUUGGCCUCCCAAACACAAUCUCAGCUCACUGCAACCUCGACCUCCCAGGUACAAGCAAUUCUCCUGCCUCAGCCUCCCAAGUAGCUGGGAUUACAGAGUUACCCAUCGUUAACCACAGUCUGAAAAUACUAAAUGAAAAUAUUAAAUUCCAGAAAUAAUACCAUCCAUUCACUCUACUUUCAGUGAUAUACUCAUUUUUAUUUGAGAAUCCAUUCUCCCUCACUCUUAGUCCAUGGGGCUCUGCAGGUAUGACUCCAUUCUUAGCUCUAGCAGUGACUUGUGACCAACUCUAGGGGUGACUUGUGACCUAGCCUAGCCAACCAGAACUUCACAUUCCCUAGACAACAACAGCUGUUUCAAGAAUGGGCACAUGACUUCAUUACAGCUACUAGGAAAGCUGACUUACUUUAAGUUUACAGUCAUCUUGCUGCAUGGACCCUGGCAAUAAGACCAAUUUUAUGUUAUUUUAUUUUUAUCCUAGGAUCCAGCCAUAUUUGGAGUCUGCUCUACACUGGAACAUCUUUUUUUUUUUUUUUUUAGAUGGAGUUUUGCUCUUGUCGCCCCGGCUGGAGUGCAGUGGUGCGACCUCAGCGAUCUCAGCGAUCUCAGCGAUCUCAGCUCACUACAACCUCUGCCUCUUGGAUUCAAGCAGUUCUCCUGCCUCAACCACCUGAGUAGCUGGGAUUACAGGCGCCUGCCACCACGCCUGGCUAAUUUUUGUAUUUUUAGUAGAGAUGGGGUUUCACCAGGUUGGUCAGUCUGGUCUCGAACUCCUGACCUCAGGUGAUCCACCCACCUCGGCCUCCCAAAGUGCUGGGAUUACAGGCGUGAGCCACCAUGCCCAGCCUACACUUGGGCUUCUUAGGCACAAGAUCCAGUAAGCCCUCCCUCCUCCUCCCCACCCCUUUUUUCUUUACACUAGUGUUUUCUGUAAUCCUGCAACAGAAAGAGUCCUAACUGAUAUAUUUGUGACCAUUUCUAAAAUCUCCAAAAUGUAAAAUUAUACAAUUAAGACUCAGCCUCCCAAGUAUCUGGGAUUGCA